RNAcentral lists this ribosomal RNA (467 nucleotides) under uncultured bacterium. RNAcentral's name for it is "partial 16S ribosomal RNA". It matches the Rfam family "Bacterial small subunit ribosomal RNA", at positions 28 to 523 of the family's 1533-position model. The record is from RNAcentral.
GACGAACGCUGGCGGCGUGCUUAACACAUGCAAGUCGAGCGGAAAACUUCGGUUUUCAGCGGCGGACGGGUGAGUAACACGUGGGCAACCUGCCUCACAAUGAGGGAUAGCCUUCCGAAAGGAAGAUUAAUACCUCAUAACACAAGAGAAACGCAUGUUUCUCUUGCCAAAGAAUUUCGUUGUGAGAUGGGCCCGCGGCGCAUUAGCUUUUUGGUGAGGGGACGGCUCACCAAGGCUUCGAUGCGUAGCCGACCUGAGAGGGUGAUCGGCCACAUUGGAACUGAGACACGGUCCAGACUCCUACGGGAGGCAGCAGUGGGGAAUAUUGCACAAUGGAGGAAACUCUGAUGCAGCAACGCCGCGUGAGUGAUGAAGGUCUUCGGAUUGUAAAACUCUGUCUUCUGGGACGAUAAUGACGGUACCGGAGGAGGAAGCCACGGCUAACUACGUGCCAGCAGCCGCCGUAA